GUAGGUGAACCUGCGGAAGGAUCAUUAUCGUGGGGCUUCGGCCCCAACGAGAUAGAACCCUUGCCUUUUGAGUACCGUCCGUUUCCUCGGCAGGCCCGCCUGCCAAUGGGGACCCCCAAUAAACUCUUUACAUCACCUGUAUCAGUCUGAAAAAUAAACAAAAGUUAAAACUUUCAACAACGGAUCUCUUGGUUCUG
Molecule: unclassified non-coding RNA, 197 nt
Filed under: rhizosphere metagenome
Description: partial ribosomal RNA internal transcribed spacer region
Source: RNAcentral